Molecule: unclassified non-coding RNA, 174 nt
Filed under: uncultured fungus
Lineage: Eukaryota; Fungi
Description: sequence contains ITS1
Source: RNAcentral
UUGUUUGAAUUUUAUGCUCAAUCAAGAGACUGUUUGCAUUCUUAGACUUUAAGUGUUAAAAAUGGUGCAAAGGAGCAGUAGUGUGCACAGUGUGAGAAAAUGAAUGGGUCGGACCUCUAAAGAGAGCGUCCUUUCAUUUCAUUAAUGAUCCUUCCGCAGGUUCACCUACGGAAA